This 253-nucleotide ribosomal RNA is filed under the name uncultured bacterium. RNAcentral describes it as "partial 16S ribosomal RNA". It matches the Rfam family "Bacterial small subunit ribosomal RNA", at positions 524 to 776 of the family's 1533-position model. The record is from RNAcentral.
UACGAAGGGGGCUAGCGUUGCUCGGAAUCACUGGGCGUAAAGGGUGCGUAGGCGGGUCUUUAAGUCAGGGGUGAAAUCCUGGGGCUCAACUCCAGAACUGCCUUUGAUACUGAGGAUCUUGAGUUCGGGAGAGGUGAGUGGAACUGCGAGUGUAGAGGUGAAAUUCGUAGAUAUUCGCAAGAACACCAGUGGCGAAGGCGGCUCACUGGCCCGAUACUGACGCUGAGGCACGAAAGCGUGGGGAGCAAACAGG